GCCUUGGCUCUUGGUGUUCGCCCAGUUUUGUUGCGGUUGUUGCCGACACUCCCACCACGAGCAACUUCCACACUCAUGCGUUAAAUACUUUUGCAAAGAACUCGAAAACCGGGCCCAGGGAUACGCACUGUAAGUAUAUGUAGGUGGGAGAGGACGGACACUUGCAUGUAGCUGCCUGUGGAGGCCAGAAGAGGACAUCAGAUCCCCUAGAGCUGGAGUUACAGGAAGCUAUAAGCUACUCAGCUUUGGAAAUACCCCUCAAAUCUGGAAAUUCGUGAGCCCACUGGACACUGCCAAUUCGCUGAUCCUACCGUCUUCUCCACAUCGCGUGAUCUCUGCAGCGCCUGUGGCCACUCCCCCGUCUGUGCCUCCUGGUGCCUAGUGCUCUUUUAUUCUCUCCACCACACAGCCAAGCCCCAGCUGUAGCGAAGCCCAGCUCAGCCUCCUUUGGUCAAGUGAACCUGGCUGACUGGGUUUGCUUCAAAGUUUUGAUUGCUAACCUCAAAUGGGUACUUAGCAGUGCGGCCUGGCAUCCCCUCCGCACUGCCGUACGGCCUAUGCCUCCUGACUCUCAUUCAGAACCCUUCUCUCUUCUAC
Molecule: long non-coding RNA, 597 nt
Organism: Alexandromys fortis (reed vole)
Lineage: Eukaryota; Metazoa; Chordata; Mammalia; Rodentia; Cricetidae
Exons: 3
Source: RefSeq, a predicted model, not a curated record